Molecule: long non-coding RNA, 747 nt
Filed under: Homo sapiens (human)
Lineage: Eukaryota; Metazoa; Chordata; Mammalia; Primates; Hominidae
Description: MIR924 host gene
Source: RNAcentral
AAGAGUGUACAGAAAUAAGUCACAUGCAGACCAUAUUGAAAUACGCAGAGAAUUCCAUGGAGACUCUGAUGGCUAGGGCACCGUUGAGCUGUUGCAACUGUUCUGCUGGAGCCUUAUGUAUGUGGUUGAAACCACCUGUACUACUGGAAUGAAAGCACCUUUACAGAAGAGGCAAUGCAAGUUGUAUUCAUCACAUGUGUAGAAUGAAUUAAGAUUUAUGCCAGUUGCAAAGAAGAAUAUUGGCUCACUAUUUUUCCUCUGGGCAUGUGGAAAUGUAAAUCAGUCCAUGUUACUCACCUCGGAGAAGCAGAAGUACGAUUUACUAUUGUUGCUUGCUUACUUACUCUUAUCAAUUUCUAUGAGAGAAGAAUUCCAAAUGUGCUACCAUCCAUGUAGUUUUACUUGAAAAACCCCCUUGGAAAUUAACAAUAAGGCACUGACUGGAGCUGAAUUUGCAAAUGUUUUAGGAAGAAACUUUAUCUCAGACUACCCUUGAUGUAUCAAAAUAUUUAAAGCAAUUGGCAAAGGCAGUGAGCAAUUCACUCUCAGGCACAUGAAUAUCACCGGGAGAGGGCUGAAUGUUCAGACCAUAUGAUGUCCUGAAAAUUCUUCCACAAUAUUUAACCAACACUUUCCAGAAAAACUUCAUUUAUCUCCAUGUACCAAUAUUUUGGGGUCCAGCCCAAUUCCUGUCCCUUCAGUGAAGCCUUAUUUAAUUUUACCAAUAAAUAAUAGCUCUCUUUUUUG